AUACGUAGGUGACAAGCGUUAUCCGGAUUUACUGGGCGUAAAGGGCGUGUAGGCGGUCUUGCAAGUCAGAAGUGAAAUUCCUGAGCUCAACUCGGGCGCUGCUUCUGAAACUGCAGGACUUGAGUGCUGGAGGGGAUAGCGGAAUUCCUAGUGGAGCGGUAAAAUGCGCAGAUAUUAGGAAGAACACCGGUGGCGAAGGCGACUAUUUGGACAUAAACGGACUCUGAGGCGCGAAAGCGGGGGGAGAAAACAGGAUUAGUUACCCUGGUAGGCCACGCCGUAAACGAUGAAUACUAGGUGUAGGGGGUAUCGACUCCCUCUGUGCCGCAGUUAACACAAUAAUUAUUCCGCCUGGGGAGUACGGCCUCAAGGUUGAAACUCAAAGGAAUUGACGGGU
RNAcentral lists this ribosomal RNA (397 nucleotides) under uncultured bacterium. RNAcentral describes it as "partial 16S ribosomal RNA". It matches the Rfam family "Bacterial small subunit ribosomal RNA", at positions 523 to 918 of the family's 1533-position model. The record is from RNAcentral.